Long non-coding RNA from Choloepus didactylus (southern two-toed sloth), 3941 nucleotides. RefSeq lists it as uncharacterized. Lineage: Eukaryota; Metazoa; Chordata; Mammalia; Pilosa; Megalonychidae. The record is from RefSeq and is a predicted model, not a curated record. The transcript has 3 exons.
GGGCGCGCUCCUCCCCCCGCGGCCCUCCGCUGGCCCCUCCCGCCCCCGCGUCCUCCCCCUGCGUCCCCAGCCUGCGCCACUCCCACUGGGAUCACGGGCGGCCGGGAUCGCUGAGCGCCCUGCACUGAGAGCCCGGAGGGGAAAGGCGCCGUCCAGGGGGACCUACCGGCCAGGACUUGGCAGGGACGUCCACGGGGGCCGGAAGAGAGGAAGGAAAAGCGGUUCCUGCUUUCCCAUUUCUGGAUGUCUGAUGGACUCACUCCUGGGAACCUGCCCCGGGCCAGCCCCUCCAACCAGGUAAACCAAGUCCUGUCUCAUUACUGUGCGUGCAGGAGCCCUCGAGGUUCUGUCCCCCACUUCACCCUGGGGACCGUUUGCCCCCAUAGCCUGGGGCUUUGCAGCUGCCAGCCCCCUUCACCCCAGCCUGCACAAGUCCUCUUCCAGGCCUUUCCGGGGGACAGAAAAGAAUGGCCGCUGGCUGGAAAGGGUUACCCAAGUGACCACCAAGGGCCUUUCACACUCCAGAGUUCGAGGAUUCUAUGGCACCUUCGACGCUGAACAGGCAUCCACCAAGAUUUCCGGAGGAGUUCCCUUCUGGAACACCUCAGCCCCAGAGAAUCUGGUACCAGGAAUUGCAGUGCAGCUCUUGCCAGCCAAGCCUGCUCGCCACACGCUGAGGAAGCAACUAAGUUCUGUAACUUGCAACAGCAGUUUCUUUUUAGAUAUGUGAAAACUUGGGGAAAAUCCUAAAAUAUGUGUGUGUGGUUGGUUGGAAGGGAGUGGAAGAUUUUUAAUUUUUUUUCUUGGGUUUUUCACAUUUUUGUAAUUUUAGAGAUUAAUUUUUUCACCACUGACCCCCUGCUUCUCCCUCCACCCCAGUGCUGCUUCUCUCAUUUCUUGCAGGUCCUCACAUCACAAUUUCCUUUGUAUCUAAGAAUGCCGCAUGCCAUGUGUCUAAACGUGUGGAAGCUGUAGUCAGGCUUACAAACAGUCACAGGGAAUACAUUGUCUCUUCCUACCUUAAAAAUGUACCAUCGUCUCUGGAAGGCCAGGUUGCAAGUUAGAGUUCUCAGAACCUAUGGUGAUUAUCACAGAAUGGCUAUGGGGACAGCUGGCCCUGAGCCCCCAGCCCCUUUUGUUCACCCCGUUCUCUUUCUUCCCUCCCGCCAACUCUGCCUUGCCCUGGAAAUGGUGUCCCUCACACACAGGCCUGGGCAGCUGGGACCUCCCAUUCUGACUGGUCCUCACUCUCCCCCAGCCUCACCCCUGGGUGCACAUUGGCAUUGCUGUCAACCAUGUGGGGAGAGCCUGGAAGCUUCUGAGGUCCUGGUACCAAAACCUGGUCCAGAGGUGGUGCCGUGGGUGCCCCGGGUGAGGGCUGCAGCCUUUUAUUUACACACAGCCAAGCUAACAGGACAACCUAAGGAUUAAUAAUUGUGGGAGUAACUACUUCAGUACUUUCUUGCUAUUGGAGCUUCUGAGGAAUUAAGGAAGGAGUUGCUUCACCUCUCUUCAAAUUCCUUAGAAGCAGUAUUUUGUCUGGCAUUGCUUAAGGCUGUUAUCUUCAUUCUCCUCCAUGUGGCUUCUCCAGAAGGCUAGCUUAAGGAUCUUUCACAUGGUGACUGGAUUUCAAGAGGUCAAGUGCAGUAGCUUUAAAGAUCUCUUGAUGGUUGGGCUCAGAUGUUGCACACUGUUACUUCAGUCACAUUCCUUAUGUCAAAGCAAGUCGCAAGGUCAGCCCAGAUUCAAGGUGUGGAUAAAUAAGCUGCACUGCUUGAGGGAAGGAUCUGCAAAUCAAAUUUCAAAAAAAGGCCAUAAUAAAAAGGCCACCAUUUUUUUCAAUUUCAGCAGUUUCCAUCAGAAGCUCAAUUGCCUUUUUGUUCCAAUUAUCCUUACUACUCGGGCUAUCAAAUCUUUCUUUGGUUCCUAUAAUGAUUAUAGCCUUAUUAUAGUAAAAGGAUCCAAAUCAGAAGCCAAAAGGAUGCACAGGGUGGGAUCUGGGAGGGUCUCAAAUGCAGGUUUCCAUGUGCUCUCCGCAUGAGUCAGAACUCACCCUCCUGGCAUAGCAGCCAUGUAUCUUCUCAAUCAUGGAAGCUCAGUGGGGCUUCAAGUGUCCUGGGUUUAUGUGGGGUCUUAUUAGGUAGGCAUGAUUGAUAGAAUCAAUGUCCCCAACCCCCUAAUAACCUGUGUGAUCUUUCAGAGUGCCCAGCUUCCACCCAAAGAUCGGCUGCAGCAUUUUGAGUGUUAAGCCGGGUCAGGCCCCUGCAGCGGCCUCAUGCAAGGCCUUGGAGCUUUGCAUAAGCCCAAGACCCAGGGCUGCCAUCUCCACCUCCCCCAGUCCCCUGUCUGGCUUAUUUCUUCCGUGCCUUUUAUCAGUCUUUCUUCUCAGAAUGCCCUCUUCUGUUGCGUCCAUUUUUAUCCUGGUCUCUGCCUAAGCACUGGUAUUUAAGAUACCCAGAACCCAGGAGAGGGCUACUGAAAGUCAACUCCAUCCUGCCUGUUUCUGGAUUGCCCGGGGGCAGGGAGCAGCAGCGGCUGACCCUCCCCAGGUGCCAGAGUUGCCGCUGGGGAAGGGACCACAGAGCUGGGGCUGCCAUCGGCCACACAGGGCUUCAUUUUCAGCUGAAACCCCAGAUUCUGCAAAAUGUGAUGACAUGGGCACAUCACAUCGUGCUUCUUUGAGAUUUCACCCUUGCUGGGUAGAGGAUGGGAUUUCUUCAGAAGGGAGUGGACACCCACAUGCCAGAUGAGCAGGGAAGAGGUGGAUCUGGGGGCAGGAGAAGGGGGUUUGAGGUGGCCAGAAAGGGCAUUUCCUUCCCUUGGCCCUGGGGCCAUUGCCACCUGCCAUUGAGGUCUGCAGCAGGUGGAGGGCUCCCCUGUGGGGGGUCAGAAGGUGCCUCGGCUCCACAGCAUGGUGGUGGGUCUUGGGUGUGGCCUCUGCAUGGGCUCCUGAGAAAUCCUGGUGUGUAUCCGUGUCUGGGAACCAUUGAUUCAUGUAUUCCGUUUUAGGCAGCUCAUGUUGAUUAAGUGUCUACUGUAUGCCGCCACUGCUCUAGGAAUGCAAAUUGGCUGAGCCUGGUCCCUGCUGUGAGUGGUGAGUGCUCCAGGGUCACAGGUGACGAGGCAGAGCAGGGACAUGGCAUAGCGGGAUGGCCCCGGAGCUCAGCUGGGAUACACUCAGAAUUGGAAGGGAGAGAGAAAAUUGUAAGGAAACAGCCUAUGGGCUUGGGGAUCUGAAAGUAAUUCGGGGUGACCCAAGCCCUAAUUGGAGGCCUCAAGUGCUGAAGGUGGGCUGCAUCUUUGGGGGGCUCCACCAAGCAAAGGGUUCUGCAUCCACUGAGGAUGUGGAAAACAGUGAGAAGGCAGCACUCCAACCCCAACAACGAGAAAGAGCCAGAACAUCUACACAGUCCUAACUUCUCCUGAGUCCAUCAGAGCUGAAGUGGCUAGAGCCAGGCAAGCUGGGUUCCAGAGAGGGCCAGGCCUCUGAGGAGAGGGGGCUAUGUACGCUGACCCACUUUGGGCCAAGCACAGGGGAUGAGGCAGCUGCUGUGGAGGUGUAUGAGUAAAGUUGCUGCAAUUUUAACAAACCAGUUGACAAACCCCAUCAGCUGCCAUGGGAGGGGCAGGGAUGCUGGGAAAGCCCAGCACUGAGUGACAAGCAAGAAUGUGGAGGGUGGCCCCUCUGUGGCACAGCCCCCCAGGGUCAGGGAAAGCUGAGGAUGGAGCAGAGGCACUGAUGUAAACCCACUGGCAUGUAGCCACAUGAUGGAAUAUUACUCAGCCAUAAAAAAAAAAUGAAGUACUGAUACAGGACAUGAUGUGGAUGAACCCCGAAAAUGUUAUGCUCAGUGAAAAAAGCCAGACACAAAAGACCACAUAUUGUGCAACCACAGUUUUGUGAAAAGUGCAGAAUAGACAAAUCCAGAGGACAGAAAGUU